GAAUUUUCCGCAAUGGGCGAAAGCCUGACGGAGCAAUACCGCGUGAGGGAUGACGGCCUAUGGGUUGUAAACCUCUUUUCUCAGGGAGGAAUCAAUGACGUGUACCUGAGGAAUAAGCAUCGGCUAACUCCGUGCCAGCAGCCGCGGUAAGACGGAGGAUGCAAGUGUUAUCCGGAAUCACUGGGCGUAAAGCGUCUGUAGGUGGUCAAAUAAGUCAACUGUUAAAUCUUGAGGCUCAACUUCAAAAUCGCAGUCGAAACUAUUAGACUAGAGUAUAGUAGGGGUAAAGGGAAUUUCCAGUGGAGCGGUGAAAUGCGUAGAGAUUGGAAAGAACACCGAUGGCGAAGGCACUUUACUGGGCUAUUACUAACACUGAGAGACGAAAGCUAGGGUAGCAAAUGGGAUUAGAUACCCCAGUAGUC
RNAcentral lists this ribosomal RNA (422 nucleotides) under uncultured cyanobacterium. Its description in RNAcentral is "bacterial SSU rRNA". It matches the Rfam family "Bacterial small subunit ribosomal RNA", at positions 359 to 795 of the family's 1533-position model. Lineage: Bacteria; Bacillati; Cyanobacteriota. The record is from RNAcentral.